GUGAACGCUGGCGGUAGGCCUAACACAUGCAAGUCGAACGGCAGCACAGUAAGAGCUUGCUCUUACGGGUGGCGAGUGGCGGACGGGUGAGGAAUACAUCGGAAUCUACUUUUUCGUGGGGGAUAACGUAGGGAAACUUACGCUAAUACCGCAUACGACCUACGGGUGAAAGCAGGGGAUCUUCGGACCUUGCGCGAUUGAAUGAGCCGAUGUCGGAUUAGCUAGUUGGCGGGGUAAAGGCCCACCAAGGCGACGAUCCGUAGCUGGUCUGAGAGGAUGAUCAGCCACACUGGAACUGAGACACGGUCCAGACUCCUACGGGAGGCAGCAAUGGGGAAUAUUGGACAAUGGGCGCAAGCCUGAUCCAGCCAUACCGCGUGGGUGAAGAAGGCCUUCGGGUUGUAAAGCCCUUUUGUUGGGAAAGAAAAGCAGCAGGUUAAUACCCCGCUGUUCUGACGGUACCCAAAGAAUAAGCACCGGCUAACUUCGUG
Molecule: ribosomal RNA, 491 nt
Filed under: uncultured bacterium
Lineage: Bacteria
Description: partial 16S ribosomal RNA
Rfam family: Bacterial small subunit ribosomal RNA
Source: RNAcentral